GGUGCUAUAGUGUAGUGGUUAUCACUCGGGAUUUUGAUCAUAGUUUCCCGAAACCCAGGUUCGAGCCCUGGUAGCACCU
Molecule: transfer RNA, 79 nt
Filed under: Laccaria amethystina LaAM-08-1
Lineage: Eukaryota; Fungi; Basidiomycota; Agaricomycetes; Agaricales; Hydnangiaceae
Rfam family: tRNA
About the family: Transfer RNA (tRNA) molecules are approximately 80 nucleotides in length.
Source: Rfam by way of RNAcentral